CCUACGGGUGGCAGCAGUGGGGGAUAUUGCACAAUGGAGGAAACUCUGAUGCAGCGACGCCGCGUGAGGGAAGACGGUCUUCGGAUUGGAAACCUCUGUCUUUGGGGAAGAAAAUGACGGUACCCAAAGAGGAAGCUCCGGCUAACUACUUGCCAGCAGCCGCGGUAAUCCGUAGGGAGCGAGCGUUGUACGGAUUUACUGGGUGUAAGGGGGGCGUAGGGGGGCGAGAAAGUUGAAUGUUAAAUCUACGGGCUUAACUGGUAGCUGCGUUCAAAACUUCUUGUCUUGAGUGUAGUCGCGGUAGGCGGAAUUCCUAGUGUAGCGGUGAAAUGCGUAGAGAUUAGGAGGAACACCAGUGGCGAAGGCGGCCUGCUGGGCUUUAACUGACGCUGAGGCUCGAAAGCGUGGGGAGCAAACAGGAUUAGAUACCCGUGUAGUC
This 439-nucleotide ribosomal RNA is filed under the name uncultured bacterium. Its description in RNAcentral is "partial 16S ribosomal RNA". It matches the Rfam family "Bacterial small subunit ribosomal RNA", at positions 338 to 795 of the family's 1533-position model. The record is from RNAcentral.